Mycena rebaudengoi is the source of this 93-nucleotide non-coding RNA. The record is from the annotation of a GenBank genome assembly. Lineage: Eukaryota; Fungi; Basidiomycota; Agaricomycetes; Agaricales; Mycenaceae.
GACACCGUGCCGCAGUGGUUACCGGUCGCCCUGCUAUAAUUUGCAUCCAGGCGAUGUGCUUUGCACACGAGUGUUCGAAUCGCUCCGGUGUCG